Cavia aperea (Brazilian guinea pig) is the source of this 112-nucleotide unclassified non-coding RNA. It matches the Rfam family "Y RNA". Rfam says of the family: Y RNAs are components of the Ro ribonucleoprotein particle (Ro RNP), in association with Ro60 and La proteins. The Y RNAs and Ro60 and La proteins are well conserved, but the function of the Ro RNP is not known. In humans the RNA component can be one of four small RNAs -- hY1, hY3, hY4 and hY5. The record is from Ensembl. Lineage: Eukaryota; Metazoa; Chordata; Mammalia; Rodentia; Caviidae.
GGCUGGUCCGAAGGUAGUGAGUUAUCUCAACUGAUUGUUCACAGUCAGGACAGAUUGAACUCCUUGUUCUGCUCUUUCCCCCCUUCUCACUACUGCACUUGACUAGUCUUUA